CCUACGGGAGGCAGCAGUGGGGUAAUAUUGGACAAUGGGCGAAAGCCUGAUCCAGCCAUGCCGCGUGUGUGAAGAAGGUCUUCGGAUUGUAAAGCACUUUAAGUUGGGAGGAAGGGUUGUAGAUUAAUACUCUGCAAUUUUGACGUUACCGACAGAAUAAGCACCGGCUAACUCUGUGCCAGCAGCCGCGGUAAUACAGAGGGUGCAAGCGUUAAUCGGAAUUACUGGGCGUAAAGCGCGCGUAGGUGGUUUGUUAAGUUGGAUGUGAAAUCCCCGGGCUCAACCUGGGAACUGCAUUCAAAACUGACUGACUAGAGUAUGGUAGAGGGUGGUGGAAUUUCCUGUGUAGCGGUGAAAUGCGUAGAUAUAGGAAGGAACACCAGUGGCGAAGGCGACCACCUGGACUAAUACUGACACUGAGGUGCGAAAAGCGUGGGGGAGCAAAACAGGAUUAGAUACCCUGGUAGUCCACGCCGUAAAACCGAUAGUCAACUAGCCGUUGGAAGCCUUUGAAGUCGUUUAGUUGGUCGGCGAGACGUAACGACGAUAAAGUUAGUACCGCCGUCGGGAGGGUAACGGGUACCGGCCGAACGUUAAAACCGUUAAACCGUUAAAAGUUAAGUAAGUUAGUUAGGCGNGAGAGAGCCGACGGACGACGACGACGGGAGGAGGAGG
RNAcentral lists this ribosomal RNA (675 nucleotides) under uncultured bacterium. Its description in RNAcentral is "bacterial SSU rRNA". The stretch from base 1 to 532 matches the Rfam family "Bacterial small subunit ribosomal RNA", at positions 338 to 873 of the family's 1533-position model. The record is from RNAcentral.